RNAcentral lists this transfer RNA (66 nucleotides) under Schistocephalus solidus. It matches the Rfam family "tRNA". From Rfam's summary of the family: Transfer RNA (tRNA) molecules are approximately 80 nucleotides in length. Their secondary structure includes four short double-helical elements and three loops (D, anti-codon, and T loops). Further hydrogen bonds mediate the characteristic L-shaped molecular structure. tRNAs have two regions of fundamental functional importance: the anti-codon, which is responsible for specific mRNA codon recognition, and the 3' end, to which the tRNAs corresponding amino acid is attached (by aminoacyl-tRNA synthetases). tRNAs cope with the degeneracy of the genetic code in two manners: having more than one tRNA (with a specific anti-codon) for a particular amino acid; and 'wobble' base-pairing, i.e. permitting non-standard base-pairing at the 3rd anti-codon position. The record is from Rfam by way of RNAcentral. Lineage: Eukaryota; Metazoa; Platyhelminthes; Cestoda; Diphyllobothriidea; Diphyllobothriidae.
GGCCUCGUAGAUCAAGUGGUUAGAGCCUUCCCCUUCCUGUCGUGGGUUCGAAUCCCACCGAGGCCG